Non-coding RNA from Meleagris gallopavo (turkey), 1052 nucleotides. NCBI's taxonomy places the organism in Eukaryota, Metazoa, Chordata, Aves, Galliformes, Phasianidae. The record is from RefSeq and is a predicted model, not a curated record.
CCUGCAGGGAUGGGGCAUCCACAAAAGAAGUUUCCCCCGCUUGUGCCACCACCCUGCUGUCCCCACACGGUGCCCGAGGGCCGAACCACGGCAUGGGGCACCCUCGUGCUGUUCCCCCCCAGCUCUUUGUUUCCCUGCAUAGCCCCAUUCCCACUCCCCACUCAGCUCACCCAGGGGCAGCAGCACCGGGCGGUUAUCAGCCGGGCUUUGCAUGUCUCUGUACCUCUACUGAUGCGGCUUGCUGCACGCACAGAGCGCUGCCCCUCUGCACCGGGACAAUCAGCAAUAACAACAAUAGCAAUACCGAGGUUUUGAACGGCGAAAGGGCAAAACACCCAUCAGAAAAAGAAGGGACAAAACCCCACCCCAGCGCCCCGCACACCACGUUCCCGUCGCGCUGCGGGCGAGGCGCGGAGCCGGGCCGGAGGUACCACGGCCUGUCUCCUCCCCGAGCCCAAACCCCACCCUCCGCUUCACGCUGGGACUAUUUCGGGCUGCGAGCCGCUCUCUGACAGAUGCGCUCCCGCGGCCGCACUUGUUGCGCUCAGCGGCCGCCGCCCCGCAGCCCCGCGGCAGCGCUCCGCUCCGCUCCUCCGUCGCUCACCUGCCGGCUCUCCCGCUGCGUUGCUUUCGAGUUCCGCUCCCCGCAGAAGAUGUUUUAGAAGGGAAACCCUCCCGGAGCGCGGCUGUCCCCAUCCCCGUCCCCGUCGGGAGUUCGGCCCCGCGGUGAGAGAUGUCAGAGCCCUCCGCUGCCAACGGGGACGGGAAGGAGCCCGACAUCGAGCUCUUCGUCAAGGUCACGUUGCCGAGGGAGAGGCAGAGCUCCUUGAUUUUGUUGUCGUUUCUCUCCUCGGGAGCGUGCCCUGUUAUUCUUAGCCCGGCGGGGUUCUCGCGGCCAGCCUGACGUGCUGCUCCAUUUAUGGGAACAGAACAUGGAGUAGAGCGACCCAGUGAGGGCUGCGGGGCACCCCGGGCUCCCAGCACAGAGGGCUGAGCUCAGCGGGCACUGCUGUCCUCAGUGCCUGCAGCACUUAUUUCCUCCCUCUGGAGAG